RNAcentral lists this unclassified non-coding RNA (19 nucleotides) under Mus musculus (house mouse). Its description in RNAcentral is "oocyte_clustered_small_RNA11742". The record is from RNAcentral. Lineage: Eukaryota; Metazoa; Chordata; Mammalia; Rodentia; Muridae.
UCUACGAUCCGGACACCAG